AGAGGGUGUCGCGGAAGAGUGUCACGCAAAUAAGUGGGUGGGGGAAGGAAGCAGAGCAGGCAAUGCCCCUAUUUAUAUUUGGCGUUGGCAUGUCCAGAUCGAUGGGCCAAAGCUCAUUUAGGAAGUGAUGAAUCGAACAAGGAGGAAGGGUAACACGAUGACGUGUUUGGUCUUCAGCCAUUUCUUUACUAAGAAACCCAGGGUCCCUCGGCUACUUAUGUUUUGCCAGACAAUGAGAGUAUGUAGAUAGCAUGUAUGGUUUUUACAUUGCUUUGCGCAGGUUGAGAUGCAUUACAUGAUGUUUUCCUUUUACAUUUAUGAGUAUUAUAGAGUCCUUUCUUUUUCCACAAGGGGCAGUAGUUGUGUCAUUUGAUUCGAAGGACAAAGAGUUGAUCACAAAUGGGUAGCAUUCAGGAUAUAUACACAAAAGAGUAUAAAACCAAAUUAUAUGAUGUAGUUGACUACUAUUUCUAUUAACUUCUCCUGUACACAAUGUUCACGAG
Molecule: long non-coding RNA, 503 nt
Organism: Triticum dicoccoides
Lineage: Eukaryota; Viridiplantae; Streptophyta; Magnoliopsida; Poales; Poaceae
Exons: 3
Source: RefSeq, a predicted model, not a curated record